GAUCCUGGCUCAGGAUGAACGCUAGCUACAGGCUUAACACAUGCAAGUCGAGGGGAAACGAUAUUGGAAGCUUGCUUCUGAUAGGCGUCGACCGGCGCACGGGUGAGUAACGCGUAUCCAACCUGCCCAUCACUUGGGGAUAACCUUGCGAAAGUAAGACUAAUACCCAAUGACGUCUCUAGAAGACAUCUGAAAGAGAUUAAAGAUUUAUCGGUGAUGGAUGGGGAUGCGUCUGAUUAGCUUGUUGGCGGGGUAACGGCCCACCAAGGCGACGAUCAGUAGGGGUUCUGAGAGGAAGGUCCCCCACAUUGGAACUGAGACACGGUCCAAACUCCUACGGGAGGCAGCAGUGAGGAAUAUUGGUCAAUGGACGAGAGUCUGAACCAGCCAAGUAGCGUGCAGGAAGACGGCCCUAUGGGUUGUAAACCGCUUUUAUAAGGGAAUAAAGUGAGUCUCGUGAGACUUUUUGCAUGUACCUUAUGAAUAAGGACCGGCUAAUUCCGUG
RNAcentral lists this ribosomal RNA (505 nucleotides) under uncultured bacterium. RNAcentral's name for it is "bacterial SSU rRNA". It matches the Rfam family "Bacterial small subunit ribosomal RNA", at positions 15 to 507 of the family's 1533-position model. The record is from RNAcentral.